UGGGGAAUCUUCCGCAAUGGACGAAAGUCUGACGGAGCAACGCCGCGUGAGUGAAGACGGCCUUCGGGUUGUAAAGCUCUGUGAUUCGGGACGAAAGGCCAUAUGUGAAUAAUAUAUGGAAAUGACGGUACCGAAAAAGCAAGCCACGGCUAACUACGUGCCAGCAGCCGCGGUAAUACGUAGGUGGCAAGCGUUGUCCGGAAUUAUUGGGCGUAAAGCGCGCGCAGGCGGUCACUUAAGUCCAUCUUAGAAGUGCGGGGCUUAACCCCGGGAUGGGAUGGAAACUGGGAGACUGGAGUAUCGGAGAGGAAAGUGGAAUUCCUAGUGUAGCGGUGAAAUGCGUAGAUAGUAGGAAGAACACCGGUGGCGAAGGCGACUUUCUGGACGAAAACUGACGCUGAGGCGCGAAAGCGUGGGGAGCAAACAGG
Molecule: ribosomal RNA, 428 nt
Filed under: Verrucomicrobiota bacterium
Lineage: Bacteria; Pseudomonadati; Verrucomicrobiota
Description: Verrucomicrobia bacterium partial 16S ribosomal RNA
Rfam family: Bacterial small subunit ribosomal RNA
Source: RNAcentral